Molecule: unclassified non-coding RNA, 294 nt
Filed under: Coniophora olivacea
Lineage: Eukaryota; Fungi; Basidiomycota; Agaricomycetes; Boletales; Coniophoraceae
Description: partial internal transcribed spacer region
Rfam family: Eukaryotic small subunit ribosomal RNA (bases 1-46)
Source: RNAcentral
AAGUCGUAACAAGGUUUCCGUAGGUGAACCUGCGGAAGGAUCAUUAUCGAUUCAACACAAAUGAGAAGGGAGUCGUUUGUAGCUGUGCUGGCCUCUAACAAAGGGGCAUGUGCACGCUCGACUUCUCUUUUCUUCAUUUACACACCUGUGAACCUGUUUGUAGGGUGUCUCGCAAGGGAUGCUCUAUGUCUUUUUCAUAUACCCCAUUGUAUGUUUAUAGAAUGUAUCUUUUUGCUCUCGUCAGAGACAAAAGUAAAGCCUUUAUAACUUUCAGCAACGGAUCUCUUGGCUCUC